RNAcentral lists this ribosomal RNA (1374 nucleotides) under uncultured bacterium. Its description in RNAcentral is "bacterial SSU rRNA". It matches the Rfam family "Bacterial small subunit ribosomal RNA", at positions 28 to 1381 of the family's 1533-position model. The record is from RNAcentral.
GAUGAACGCUGGCGGCGUGCCUAAUACAUGCAAGUCGAGCGAACGGACGAGAAGCUUGCUUCUCUGAUGUUAGCGGCGGACGGGUGAGUAACACGUGGAUAACCUACCUAUAAGACUGGGAUAACUUCGGGAAACCGGAGCUAAUACCGGAUAAUAUUUUGAACCGCAUGGUUCAAAAGUGAAAGACGGUCUUGCUGUCACUUAUAGAUGGAUCCGCGCUGCAUUAGCUAGUUGGUAAGGUAACGGCUUACCAAGGCAACGAUGCAUAGCCGACCUGAGAGGGUGAUCGGCCACACUGGAACUGAGACACGGUCCAGACUCCUACGGGAGGCAGCAGUAGGGAAUCUUCCGCAAUGGGCGAAAGCCUGACGGAGCAACGCCGCGUGAGUGAUGAAGGUCUUCGGAUCGUAAAACUCUGUUAUUAGGGAAGAACAUAUGUGUAAGUAACUGUGCACAUCUUGACGGUACCUAAUCAGAAAGCCACGGCUAACUACGUGCCAGCAGCCGCGGUAAUACGUAGGUGGCAAGCGUUAUCCGGAAUUAUUGGGCGUAAAGCGCGCGUAGGCGGUUUUUUAGUCCGAUGUGAAAGCCCACGGCUCACCCCGUGGAGGGUCAUUGGAAACUGGAAAACUUGAGUGCAGAAGAGGAAAGUGGAAUUCCAUGUGUAGCGGUGAAAUGCGCAGAGAUAUGGAGGAACACCAGUGGCGAAGGCGACUUUCCUGGUCUGUAACUGACGCUGAUGUGCGAAAGCGUGGGGAUCAAACAGGAUUAGAUACCCUGGUAGUCCACGCCCGUAAACGAUGAGUGCUAAGUGUUAGGGGGUUUCCGCCCCUUAGUGCUGCAGCUAACGCAUUAAGCACUCCGCCUGGGGAGUACGACCGCAAGGUUGAAACUCAAAGGAAUUGACGGGGACCCGCACAAGCGGUGGAGCAUGUGGUUUAAUUCGAAGCAACGCGAAGAACCUUACCAAAUCUUGACAUCCUUUGACAACUCUAGAGAUAGAGCCUUCCCCUUCGGGGGACAAAGUGACAGGUGGUGCAUGGUUGUCGUCAGCUCGUGUCGUGAGAUGUUGGGUUAAGUCCCGCAACGAGCGCAACCCUUAAGCUUAGUUGCCAUCAUUAAGUUGGGCACUCUAAGUUGACUGCCGGUGACAAACCGGAGGAAGGUGGGGAUGACGUCAAAUCAUCAUGCCCCUUAUGAUUUGGGCUACACACGUGCUACAAUGGACAAUACAAAGGGCAGCGAAACCGCGAGGUCAAGCAAAUCCCAUAAAGUUGUUCUCAGUUCGGAUUGUAGUCUGCAACUCGACUACAUGAAGCUGGAAUCGCUAGUAAUCGUAGAUCAGCAUGCUACGGUGAAUACGUUCCCGGGUCU